CAAAAGCUUGGUCCUGGCUUUAGUGUCAGCUCUGAUCUAAAUUACACAUGCAAGUAUCCGCGCCCCCGUGAGAAUGCCCUAACAGCUCCCCGCCCGGGAGCAAGGAGCUGGUAUCAGGCACAGCCUCAGCCUAGCCCAUAACACCUUGCUUAGCCACACCUCCAAGGGAAUUCAGCAGUGAUAAACAUUAAAUAUAAGCGAAAGCUUGAUUUAGUCAGGGUCAUGAGGGCUGGUCAAUCUCGUGCCAGCCACCGCGGUUAUACGAGGUAGCCCAAGUUGACACUCAUUCGGCGUAAAGGGUGGUUAGGUAAGAAUUUUAAACUAAAGCCGAACGCCUUCAAAGCCGUUAAAAGUGUAUGAAGGUAAGAAGCACAUCGACGAAAGUGGCUUUAUUACAUCUGACUCCACGAAAGCUGAGGAACAAACUGGGAUUAGAUACCCCACUAUGCUCAGCCUUAAAUACUGAUAUUUCAAUACAUUAACAUAUCCGCCCGGGUAGUACGAGCACCAAGCUUAAAACCCAAAGGACCUGGCGGUGCUUUAGAUCCAUCUAGAGGAGCCUGUUUCAGAAUCGAUAUUCCCCGCUAAACCUUACCCACCCUAGCUAAAUGUUCAGUCUGUAUACCGCCGUCGCAAAUUUACCCUGUGAAGGGAGAAUAGUAAGUUUAGCCAGUACAGCUAAGUACGUCAGGUCAAGGUGCAGCAUAUGGGUGGGGAGAAAUGGGCUACAUUUCCUAAUGCAGGAUAAACGAAAAGUGGACUGAAAUGUCUUACUAGAAGGAGGAUUUAGCAGUAAGUAGGAAAUAGAGUGUCUUACUGAAACAGGCUCUGAAGCGUGCACACACCGCCCGUCACUCUCCCCAGCAAAGGCUUAUUCAAUAAGUAAUAAAAAAACUGGCAAAGGGGAGGCAAGUCGUAACAUGGUAAGUGUACCGGAAGGUGCACUUGGUAAAC
RNAcentral lists this non-coding RNA (954 nucleotides) under Trachinops taeniatus (eastern hulafish). Its description in RNAcentral is "12S ribosomal RNA". It matches the Rfam family "Bacterial small subunit ribosomal RNA". Lineage: Eukaryota; Metazoa; Chordata; Actinopteri; Plesiopidae. The record is from RNAcentral.